RNAcentral lists this unclassified non-coding RNA (1445 nucleotides) under Penaeus chinensis. RNAcentral describes it as "uncharacterized LOC125034177, transcript variant X3". The record is from RNAcentral. Lineage: Eukaryota; Metazoa; Arthropoda; Malacostraca; Decapoda; Penaeidae.
CUCGACGUCGCAAUGACGCAAUACCGUCAAACGUCAGAGUCUAAAUCCUAUAAAAGAAAAAGUUUCAGAUUCAAGUGGAACGCUGAGAAAUGUAAGAAAUCCGCAGAUGGAAACCAGGGGUUAACGAGAGCAAAGUGAACAUCCAAGAGCAGAAGGUCCUUGUUCUACGUCUGCCUGCUUAGCGGUUGUGUGAUCCGUAAAGAAUGGACCGCCAGAUUUGCGUCUUCUUUCUGGUCCUGCUAUCAACCCUAUCUCAUUUGGUUUCUGCCGAAGAGCUCACCCAAGAACCUCACCAGAUUGACCUUGGCAACAUUCUGGCCAUUAUUGUGCUCUUGGUCAUGGGGAUAUUAGGGGGUUUGGCAUGCUUAGGGUCCUAUGCCAGGAAUCACUUGACAAAUUCAUAUUAGCCUUGCAUUUCUCUGCCUUUAACUCAUUGCUACUGGGUAUAACAUGUACAUCAUGUCCACUGUGAUUUUACUUAUUUAAUGUGUUUACACAAACAUGGCUCCACAAGAGCUUUGUCACCAAAAGGUCAAUUACUAGUCCUCUGUAUCUCACCUGUUUUCUCUUUCUUAUUGGUAUUAUUAUUUUAAUGACUUUAUAAUUAUCAUAAUACCAGAAAUAAUGUUUACAAUUUUGAUAUUGAUAACACUAGAAAAAUAAUUUCCUAAAUAUUCAAGGAAUGUGGAAAUCAGUGGACAGCAAGUACCUGCUGCCAGUGGAUUAAUCUUUGGUUUAUUCAGUGUGCGAGAAUGGUCUGGUUGACUGCCGGGGUCCUGAAUACUGCUUUUGUAGGAUGAUGAUGGAUGGUAGAAAAUACUGGAUUUUCAGGCAGUGGAUAAGCUUUGUGGAUGUUCAUCAUACUUUCAUACUAUUGCUGUUAAGUAUUUUUUAAAUUAACCUCUUGAAUUUAAUGUUUUAAAUUAGUUCUGAAUUUUCCUAGUAUUUAUUCUUCUGAAUGAAAUUAUCAAUGUGUGAGAAUGAGCUUUAAAUCCACUCUUAUAUUUGAUAAGUUCUGGUAAAGAAUACAGCAUCCCCCAGUUUAUCUUAACUAUGUUCUCUGUUGUUUUGUAUAUCUUAUAGUUCUUCCAGUGUUUUCAUCUAUAUUGAUCCAAGUCUAGUCUUAGUAGUUAUGGAGAUGUAUCAUGUUCCUGAAAUUUUAUAGAAUUUGUUUAUAGUUUUUGUGAAUGUUAUUUUCUGUUAGUAUCAUUAUUUGAAGCAUGAAAGACCAGUGUUUUAUGUCUAUUAAAAGUGUGAUCUUAAUAAUGCUUGUAAACCUGGCUAAGAGUUUUCCAAAGAAUACACAAUUCCUUUGAAUUUUGUCUCUUCUAGAUUGAAUUACACACGGUGAUCUAUAAACUAUGGAGUUAUAGAUUUGUGAUAUAUUAUCUUUUUUACAAUUUAUAAUAAAAUUUUCAGUAGCUUAAUGCUACUUCUCUUGAAUA